Camelus ferus (Wild Bactrian camel) is the source of this 68-nucleotide transfer RNA. It matches the Rfam family "tRNA". From Rfam's summary of the family: Transfer RNA (tRNA) molecules are approximately 80 nucleotides in length. Their secondary structure includes four short double-helical elements and three loops (D, anti-codon, and T loops). Lineage: Eukaryota; Metazoa; Chordata; Mammalia; Artiodactyla; Camelidae. The record is from Rfam.
GAGGGUAUAGCUCAGUGGUAGUGUGCUUGGCAUGCAGGAGGUCCUGGGUUCAAUCCCCAGUACCUCCA